UACGUAGGGUGCAAGCGUUAAUCGGAAUUACUGGGCGUAAAGCGUGCGCAGGCGGUUUUGUAAGUCUGUCGUGAAAAUCCCCGGGCUCAACCUGGGAAUUGCGAUGGAGACUGCAAGGCUAGAAUCUGGCAGAGGGGGGGUAGAAUUCCACGUGUAGCAGUGAAAUGCGUAGAGAUGUGGAGGAAUACCGAUGGCGAAGGCGGCGACCUGGGACAGUAACUGACACUCAACUACGAAAGCGUGGGGAGCAAACAGG
This 256-nucleotide ribosomal RNA is filed under the name uncultured bacterium. RNAcentral's name for it is "partial 16S ribosomal RNA". It matches the Rfam family "Bacterial small subunit ribosomal RNA", at positions 524 to 776 of the family's 1533-position model. The record is from RNAcentral.